AAUGGGUCAGCGACUUAUAUUCUGUAGCAAGGUUAACCGAAUAGGGGAGCCGAAGGGAAACCGAGUCUUAACUGGGCGUUAAGUUGCAGGGUAUAGACCCGAAACCCGGUGAUCUAGCCAUGGGCAGGUUGAAGGUUGGGUAACACUAACUGGAGGACCGAACCGACUAAUGUUGAAAAAUUAGCGGAUGACUUGUGGCUGGGGGUGAAAGGCCAAUCAAACCGGGAGAUAGCUGGUUCUCCCCGAAAGCUAUUUAGGUAGCGCCUCGUGAAUUCAUCUCCGGGGGUAGAGCACUGUUUCGGCAAGGGGGUCAUCCCGACUUACCAACCCGAUGCAAACUGCGAAUACCGGAGAAUGUUAUCACGGGAGACACACGGCGGGUGCUAACGUCCGUCGUGAAGAGGGAAACAACCCAGACCGCCAGCUAAGGUCCCAAAGUCAUGGUUAAGUGGGAAACGAUGUGGGAAGGCCCAGACAGCCAGGAUGUUGGCUUAGAAGCAGCCAUCAUUUAAAGAAAGCGUAAUAGCUCACUGGUCGAGUCGGCCUGCGCGGAAGAUGUAACGGGGCUAAACCAUGCACCGAAGCUGCGGCAGCGACACUAUGUGUUGUUGGGUAGGGGAGCGUUCUGUAAGCCUGUGAAGGUGGCCUGUGAGGGUUGCUGGAGGUAUCAGAAGUGCGAAUGCUGACAUAAGUAACGAUAAAGCGGGUGAAAAGCCCGCUCGCCGGAAGACCAAGGGUUCCUGUCCAACGUUAAUCGGGGCAGGGUGAGUCGACCCCUAAGGCGAGGCCGAAAGGCGUAGUCGAUGGGAAACAGGUUAAUAUUCCUGUACUUGGUGUUACUGCGAAGGGGGGACGGAGAAGGCUAUGUUGGCCGGGCGACGGUUGUCCCGGUUUAAGCGUGUAGGCUGGUUUUCCAGGCAAAUCCGGAAAAUCAAGGCUGAGGCGUGAUGACGAGGCACUACGGUGCUGAAGCAACAAAUGCCCUGCUUCCAGGAAAAGCCUCUAAGCAUCAGGUAACAUCAAAUCGUACCCCAAACCGACACAGGUGGUCAGGUAGAGAAUACCAAGGCGCUUGAGAGAACUCGGGUGAAGGAACUAGGCAAAAUGGUGCCGUAACUUCGGGAGAAGGCACGCUGAUACGUAGGUGAAGUCCCU
RNAcentral lists this ribosomal RNA (1155 nucleotides) under Escherichia coli. RNAcentral describes it as "partial 23S ribosomal RNA". It matches the Rfam family "Bacterial large subunit ribosomal RNA", at positions 614 to 1769 of the family's 2925-position model. The record is from RNAcentral. Lineage: Bacteria; Pseudomonadati; Pseudomonadota; Gammaproteobacteria; Enterobacterales; Enterobacteriaceae.